AUACCAAAUUUUUGAUAUAUUUAAACUAUGAGAUAUGGUUAUCUACUGAUAAUUACUAUUAAUAUCUUGAUGGUGGUUAAUCUUUGGAGUAGAGUGGUGGGUGACUUUUUUUAACCUCUAAACAAAACUUUAAUAUAUUUCUAAUUGUGGGGUGCCUGGGUGGUUCAGUCAUUAGGCAUCUGCCAGUACAGUUCAGAUCAUGAUUCUGGGGUCCUGGGAUCGAGCCCUGCAUCAGGCUUCCUGCUCAGGAAGCCUGCUUCUUCCUCUCCCACACCCUCUGCUUGUGUUCCCUCUCUCGCUGUGUCGCUCUCUGUCAAAUAAAUAAAUCUUUAAAAAAAAUACAUUUCUAAUUAUGUCCUGACAAGAGAUUUCUUUUAAUAUGUUCUUAACUUUUAGACAUUUUCCGAAAUUUUCACAGUAUAUAUUGUUUUUAUUUUUGGAAGAUAUAGCAAAAAGUAUUUCUGUAUUAUUUUGUAACAACAGAUAGAAAUAAAAAAUUUAAUCCCAAAUAACCUAACAGAAUACCCACAAUUCGAUCAUAAGCAAUGUCAUUGGAGGUUGUUUUUCAUUUAAAAUGCAAAAGAUGUACUGAGUGCCCAUAUCUUUCUAAAUAUGAUUUUUUUUUUCAAGUAAGCUCUAUGCCCAACAUGGGGCUUGAACGCACAAUCCCAAAAUCAAGAGUUGUGUUUUGUAUUGACUGAGCCAGUCAAGUGCCCCCAGUUUCAUCUUUAAAAAGAAUCAGGGUUCCUUGGAGAAAUGACUGAGGAAAGCACAAGAUGAACCAGGAACAUGGGAACAUUUUGAUAUAACAGCAAGUAUGGAAAUGAAAAACAAACAAAAAAGAGAGAUGGGAACAUGUUGAAAGAACAUAGAACUAGUUUCAAGGGCAGCCCAGUGGCUAAGUCUGGGACAAUUUUUGAGCUAAAGAUAAACCAGGACAGUAAAGGAUUAUAACUCACUGAAUAAAAUAGGAAUCCGCCAAUUCAUGCUGAUAUGAUAUGAUAUGAUAUGAUAGAUAACCGAAUAAUUGGGGCUGAGGCAGGGAGGGUCCUUCCUUACAGUGAAAAGUUGAUAAAUGCGGAGGGAGGGGCACUGUUGAAAGAUCCUGUUUUGCAAGCAUCAUAGUUAAGAAUGGUUUGGGCAAGAAAUAGCAAUGAUUGGGCGCCUGGGUGGCUCAGUCGGUUAAAGCCUCUGCCUUCGGCUCAGGUCAUGAUCUCAGGGUCCUGGGAUCGAGCCCCAUAUCGGGCUCUCUGCUCAGUGGGGAACCUGCUUCCUCCUCUCUCUCUGUCUGCCUCUUUGCCUACUUGUGAUCUCUCUCUCUCUCUGUCAAAUAAAUAAAUAAAAUCUUAAAAAAAAAAGAAAAGAAAAGAAAUAGCAAUGAUUGCUAAAUCUAGGGGGGAAAUGUUUGAUGGAGAAGAGGAUACUUACUUAGUUCUAAACUAUGUCUCCAUAAAUUGCUCAUUAGCUGCAAGGGAAAAACAGUAACUAUACAGUGGAGAAACUGGACCACUUUAACCAACAGACCUCUGGAACCAAUAAUACAUUAUAUGUUGAUUAAUUGAAUUUGAAUUAAAAAAAUGGAAAAAAAAUAAAAAAUUUAAAAAACAAAAACAAAAAUAAAAAAACCUAACAAACAGGGUGCAGACUGAGAUGGUAUGUUUCCAGAUCUGAUACUCAGAGAAGAACAAAUCAUCACCUUUGUGCCCUUCUGGCAGGAGACAGAAUCAAGGCCUGAAUCAAGUCAUCAGGGGCCACCAGGCAAGUCCAUCUGAAGAACAUUCCACAAAACAACUGGCUCAUGUUCUUUAAAUGCACCAAUGUCAUGAAAGACAAAAAAUGCUACAGGACUGUUCCAGAUUAAAGAACAUUAAAGAAACAAGACGAUUUAACACAUAUGUGAUCUUUUGGUUAAAGCUGGUACCAGAGGGGGACAAUGCUAUAAGGAAUUUAUUGGUAUAACUGACAAAAUUGGAAUAUGGAUUGCCGAAUGGAAAAAAGUAUGCAUCAAGGUUACAUUUCUUGAUUUGAAACUGUGUUGUGGUUAUGUAGGAAAAUAUACUUGUUCUUAGGAACAAUACUAUGGGUCUUAAGAGUAUAACAAAGGCCUGAGCUACAUAAACUCAGAUGGUUCUGAGAAAAUACAUCAUUACCAAGGGAGAAAAGGAAAAUAAAUGUGAUGAAAUAAAAAACAAAUGAUUAUUCUGGAUACAGGCAGUAUGAAAGUUCCUUGUAAUUUUGGCAACUUAAAAAAAAAAGAUUUUAUUUAUUUAUUUGUCAGAGAGAGAGAGAGAGACAGAGCACAACCAGGGGGAUUGGCAGGCUCCCUGCUGAGCAAGGAGUAGGAUGUAGGACUUAAUCCCAGGAUCCUGGGAUCAUGACCUGAGCCAAAGGCAGAUGCUUAACCCAUUGAGCCACCCAAGUAAUCCUACAACUUUUCUUUACAUUUGGAUUUUUUUUUAAAGUUUAAUAAUAAUAAUGCACAUAGUCGUCGUUGUGGGCUUGGUUUGAAUUAUUUUAUCCCAAACACACACACACACUCACACACUUAACUGAGAUACAUGGAAGUAGUUUAUCUGGGGUAGGAGAGUAACAAGAGGGCUAAUUUGGGAGGGUAUGGGCAUGUCCCUCUAGAAACUGCCCAGGAGAAGAUGGGUGCAUGAGGGAUAUGGGAUUCACGGGGUCGAAAUGAGACUUGGAGGUACAUGGGCAGCUCUGGAAAUAACGUGUCCUUUGCUAGUGCAUUAUUUAAAGCAUCCAGUGGGAGAUUUGUUGCAUUUGCGGUAGCUGUAGGGGCUGAAUAUUACCUGAAAGAAAGAUAAGGAUCAUCACUGAAGAUAAAAUCUAGAAGUAUCUUAGAGGCUUCCUAACUCUUUUAUCAAAAUAAGAUUUCUUCUGGGACACCUGGGUGGCUCAGUUGGUUAGGCAUCUGCCUUGUCUUGGGUUGUGAUCCUAGGAUCAUGGGAUCGAGUCCCACCAGGCUCCCUGCCCCACGGGGGCGCGGGAGGGCUGCUUCUUCAUCUCUUUCCUGCUUGUGCUCUCUCUCACCAACUCCAUCUGUCUCUCUCUCUCAAAUAAAUAAAAUUUUUAAAAAAUAAUAAGGUUUCUUCACAGUAAAAUAACAACAACAAACCCACAAAGUGCAAGAUGGUGUAGCCUCCUUGUUUAUAUCACAUCAUUGUUAGUCUCCUUUCCUUUCCUCCUGUGGAAACAUGAAACACUACGGCCAGUCCCCACGCAGAUACUUGGGCUCUUUUGUUUCAGCCACUAAACCCCAUCAGCCAGCACACUGGUUAUCAUCAUUCAUCUCUUCUUAAUCUUAAUUCCAAACCGAGCUCCUGUUUGGAGAUUCGAGUUUUAGUUUGUAUUUCAAUAGCUCAUAUAGGCUUAUUUUUCUAUCGUGAACAAACUAAAAAAACUUCUAUAUUUUUUAAACUAGACAGUUUGAACACUGCCCGUCAAUAAACAAGUCAAAAGACCACCAUGGAAGAGCAAACUUGCUCAAAUGAACAAGGCGGGGAUGCCUGUGGUAACAGGAAUAAACCUGUCAUAGCUCGCUGGAGUUAUGGUUACAGACGGAAACACAUUUUAGAAUGGGCCUGCUUCAGUUUCUCCUCUGGACCCAUGGUGGCUUCUGUGGUGUCCUGGGUUUUCCCCCACUCAUCUUGGGACGGCUUCUGUAAGUCAUGGAAGAUGAUGUAGCUGCUGCACUGGUUUUGCCUCUUUGCAACAUACUCAGCACACACAUGCUUCUCAGCCAAACUGUGAGGGAAGCGGUGUACUUCCUCCAGGGCCACAGCCUCACGGUGGAAAUGGAAGCCCAAAGGGAGUUCUCAUGAAUUGAUGGUUCGUCUCUGCUCCCCCAGUCAUCAGCUGUAACAACUCAGUUGGAAUGAUGAAGGAUUCACUUUCAAGAUGGCUCACUCAAAUGGCUGGCAUAUCGGAGCUUACUUAACUGGGACCUCAGCCAGGGUUGUGGACCAGAGGCCUUGGUUCCUUUCUAUACACCAAGCGAAGAGGACUCGGCCAGCCCGUGGGAGACAUGUGGACUGGCCCACAGCCAGCACCAGUUCUCACAUAUGUGAGUGGGGCCGCGCUGAAUCAUGCUGAAUCACCGAACGAGUUCCAGGCCAGCUCCAAUUUAACUACAGACGUGUAAGUAACUGCAUGGGAGAUAAGCCAAACAGCCUCACUAAGCCCAAUUCAAAUAGCAGAAGCACAGAAUAAUGAGCAAAUAGUUGCUGUGUGUUCUUUUUUAAUUUUUAUUAUUAUUUUUUUAUUUUAAGUAGGCUGCACACCCAAUGUGGGGCUUGAACUCAUGAUCCUGAGGUCAGGAGUUGCACGCUCUUCUGACUGAGCCAGCCAGGCACCCCCACAUGGUUGCCGUUUCAAGCCACUGUUUUGAGGCUUUGGUUUGUUACACAGCAAUAAAUAACUCAUACACACGUUUUUCUGGGGAGUUAUGAAUAAAGAAAUACGAUAAUACAAAAUACUGAAGGACAGUUUCUUUCAUUAAUCUGUUCAUUCCCAUCCUGUCUAUGAUCUGCAGGAAGGAUUUGAUACUGCCCGUGGUGGGCGGACCCGGUGAUCCCUGCCUUCUGUAUUUAUGUCUUCUAUAAUCUUCACUGGGGGCUAACACUAAUGACUGUUUCUAGUAGAAACAUCCCUGGUGAUGGGAUGUCACUCACAUGAUUAUUUUAUCGUCUGUAAAAGUCCAUUAUUCUAGUAGAUUCGCACUAGGGAUUCUCCUGGUUGGCUUGAGGAGGUAAGCAGCCCUGUCAAAGAAGGUCACUGACAAGCAACAGCAUGGGCCCUUUAGGAAAUGUUUAGACAACAGCCAACAAGAAACAGAAGCCCUUGAGGCACCUGGGAGACUUGGUCAGUUGAGGUCUAACUCUAACUCUCGGUUUCAGCUCUGGUCAUGAUCUCAGAGUUGUGGGAUUGAGCCCUGAGUGCGGCUUGAGAUUCUGUAUCUCUUCCCCCAGCUCAUGCAUGUAUGUUCUCUCUCUCUCAAGUAAAUAAGCAAAUAAAAUCUUAUUAAAAAGAAAGAGAGAGAGAAAGGAAGGAAGGAAGGAAGGAAGGAACAGAAACCUUCAGUUCUACAACUACAGGAAGUGAAUUCUGCUGAUAAUCCGAGCCAGCUUGGAAGGCGAUUUUCUCCCAACUGAGCCUCCAGAUGAGAAUGCAGCUCAGCGGGCACCUCGAUAUCCUCGUGUGGGUCCCAGAGCUGAGGACCCAGGUAAGCUGGGCCUGACGCCUGGCUCAUGGAAACUGUGGGAUAAUCAGUCCAUAGCACAAAAAACUAAUACAGAUACUCAGAUACUCAGAGAGCGUCAGCACGCAAUCCUUUAAUGGGAAAGCAACCUAUGUUCCUAGAAGUCUAAAACUCUGGUUUGUUAAGAGGAAGACAUUUUACAGCUUUAGAAGGUCAAUUCUUUCUUAUCACACCCUGAUUUUUUAAAAUCCUGGACAAGACAGGGUCGCCUGGUUGGCUCAGUUGGUUAAGCAUUUGCCUUUGGCUCAUGUCAUGAUCCACCGCCAGUCCUGGGAUCCAGCCCACUUGGAGAUCUCCGCUCAGUGGGGAGUCUGCUUCUCUCCCCACCUCUGCCCCCAUGAGAUCAAGCAUGCAUGCUCCCUCUCAAAUAAAUAAAUAAUCUUAAAAAAAAAGAAAUCCUGGGACACCUGGGUGGCUCAGUGGGUUAAGCCUCUGCCUUCAUCUCAGGUCAUGAUCUCAGGGUCCUGGGAUCG
Molecule: long non-coding RNA, 5745 nt
Organism: Mustela lutreola (European mink)
Lineage: Eukaryota; Metazoa; Chordata; Mammalia; Carnivora; Mustelidae
Exons: 4
Source: RefSeq, a predicted model, not a curated record